GCCGAGGUGGUGGAACUGGUAGACACAAGGGACUUAAAAUCCCUCGGACGCAAGUCUGUACGGGUUCGACUCCCGUCCUCGGUACCA
This 87-nucleotide transfer RNA is filed under the name Mariprofundus sp. RNAcentral describes it as "tRNA-Leu". It matches the Rfam family "tRNA". From Rfam's summary of the family: Transfer RNA (tRNA) molecules are approximately 80 nucleotides in length. Lineage: Bacteria; Pseudomonadati; Pseudomonadota; Candidatius Mariprofundia; Mariprofundales; Mariprofundaceae. The record is from RNAcentral.